Molecule: long non-coding RNA, 3632 nt
Filed under: Nicotiana benthamiana
Lineage: Eukaryota; Viridiplantae; Streptophyta; Magnoliopsida; Solanales; Solanaceae
Description: long non-coding RNA (NBEN_LNC023372)
Source: RNAcentral
UGUGCCACACUAAUCCAUGCACUUUUGAUUUUAGCCCAUCACAGAACCCUUUGCAUAUCUAAACAAGCCCAAACCUCAUUCUCAAACCAAUGCAUAUAUCCAAUUACAUUAAGUACCAUAGAUUGGUAUCAAUCAGAACAACAAUCAUAAAACUUUACUUUCAAAACAAGCAGUUACCCUUUUUAAUCGAACACAUUUUGAUUCUCAAUACUAAAAUGAUAAGCUAAAGAUCAAAAGAACAUAGCUUAAUCACAUGAUUGAACAUAUGCAUAUUAAAUGGGUGAAUGGCUUAACCAACAGUCCAUAUACACCAAAGACUCAGAUGUCCUGAAUUACUUACACACCACCAAACUAUAAGAUCUCAUGUUUCCGAUCAAAACAAUAUUACGCAUGAAUUUCUUAGGACAUAUUACCCUACUACUAUAUCAAAAUGGACAGGAAUGGCUAAGUAUUAUUACACUACAUCACUAACUUCAGCAAUUCUAAGUAAAUAGCCAACAUUCAUGGUUACAGGAAACAAUAUUUAUUCAUGAAAUCUUCAGGCAACUAAAACUUUCAUACUUGCAUCUCAUCUUUCAUAGAAUCAGGGAAUACCUGGCAGUAAGCGAAAGAAGAAAAGGAAGAACCAACAGCGAUAGCAGCAGGUAAUCAACAGCAGAAACCAACCAAAUUCAACUAUUGAAACACAGGAGAUCAACUCAAAAUCCCAGUGGAGAAAUUAACCCUCAGCCAGCUUGAAUCAAAACUUCCAACAACCAAACUUCAAUCUAUUUUGAAUAUCAGAAUAGGAAAUCUUCUCUUGUUGUUUUUAACGAAGUAAGAAGAAAUCACUGAAGUUUUAAUGGAAUAGAAGAAAUUUUGGCACUUUUGUAUUUUUUUGGAAUUCUGAUCUCUAAUUCUCUAAAAGCAGUCCCCAUCAUCUUUCUUUUAGCACCGCCUUUAUAGGCAAGCUCCUAUGGUAUUUGAAAGUGGUUUAGUUUUUGCUUUUUAGCCCCUUUUUAAAUUUUUUUCUUAUUUGAAAGUCCUUCAAUUUUUGACUUGCUUGCCAAGAAAAUCGGUUUUCAGCUUUCUAGAAGCUUCUUCAACAGUUUCUUGAGAGAUUCCCAAGUGAUCUAUCCAAUUUACAUCGUAUCUCCUAUGUUUUUACCUUCAGCAAAUUCCAAACCCAUAAUGGGUCAAAAUUAGCCGAUGGUCCAACCAUUUGGACGACCUAACUUUUUUUUGAAACGGGUCAACAGCCCGAAACCCAGGCAGACCACUCCAAACUAUGGUUUGAAAUGCCCAAAAACAAACACCUUGCAACAAUUAAAAUCUAGGCUAACAGUUUGUUAACUACAAUCAACUAAAUCAGUAAUCUAGGUUAUUUAACAGCUAAUUACACUGAUUAAAGAAAGUCUAAGGUUAGUCAUGCAUGAACAAAUUGCCCUGGACCAAAUGAAAGGAAAUACGAAGAAGAGAAGAUAUAAGUAGAAGAGAAUGAGAAAAAGAAAAACCAGAAAAUACGUAGGCAAGAAUUCUGAACUGAAAAGAGGGAGCCUCGGUCUUUCAUUCUCUAAAAUUCCGGCCAAAUUUGACACUAAUCGCAUGCUUUCACAAAGAGCACACGACUAACGCCAUAUUAAACCCGAAAUUACAACCAAAUCUUGGCUUGGAAUUUUAUAUGUCUUAGGAUUUCGAUUUCAUAUUCGAGGAGCUUGGGGGAUGUUUGAGGGAAGAGCUCCGAGAAUUCGACAUGAUGAGGCGUGGGGUACCAGGGUGUUGAUUUGGUGGUCUUUGGUGGUGGCACCGCCACCGGAAAAAUUGUGGCGAUGCUAGGGUUUUGAAGAUUUGACGCAUUCCAACGGGAUUUGAGGGAAACGGGGUGUGUCAUGGGAAUGAGGGAGAGGAGGAAAAGGUGUGGUGUGAGUUUCAGGGCUAUUGGAGACUCGUCUCCGCCGUGGGUGAUUUCCGGCGGCGGUUGGUGGUGGCGUUACAGGGAAACUGGAGGGGUUAUGAGAGAUGAGUGAGGGCGUCAGGAGGUGUUUAGGACAGUUUUAUACUUAAGGUACCCUAGCUUACAGCCGUUCGAUUGAGGAAUCUCGACGGCCCAGAUCUUUCUCGGCUAAACGGGGUCGUUUUGGGUGGUAACGGGUGGACCGGACUGGGUAAGAUGGGUUCUGGGCUGGGUUCUGAAUGGGUAUGGGAGAAUUUUAAUUGGGAUGGGAAAAAUAAAUUUGAUUUUGGCCCAAAACAGAUUUACUCUUCAUUCCCCAUCUUUUCUUCAUUUUUCUAAAUCCCUUUUCUUUAAUUAAAUUAAUUCCUAAAUCAAUCCCUAAAACCUAAUUAACUUAAACAAAAAUACUAAUUAAACCUAAACUAUUAUUAACACAAUUAAUUAAAAACAAAUUAAAGGAAAAACUGCUUGAAAAUAAAAGUGAAAAUUAAAAGCGCAAAUGACAUAUUUUUGCGAUUUUCUCAUUUUUAUAAAACGAUUAAUUUGCUAAUUAACCCUAAAAUGUAAAAUUAAAUCCUACAUAUAAAUGCAAUGUAUUUUUUGCAUUUUUCAUGAUUUAAACAAAAUAAACAUACAUAGACGAAUGCAAAUAAUUGACCGAAAAAUGCCACGAAACCCACAAAAUUACAAAUAAUGAAAGAAAUUAUUUUAUUUUAAAUUUAUGAGAGUAAUUUAUAUAGGGAAAAAAUCACAUGCUCACAAUGAGAAUAACAAGUUGCUUAACAGAUAUUUAUUCAUAGCACAAACGAAGCAAAACUGCAAUAAACGUGUGGUCCUUCGCUUUGUUUCUUGUUCAUUUCUCUUACAAAGGUAACAGCAUAUUAAUAAUUAACACAAAGAAAAUAUCUGGGUUAUGCAUAACACAAUGAAUGGUGUUAAUAAUAAGACAUGGCAGGUAUAGAAAUCACUUACAAGUUAAUGUGAAAGAACUCCAUAAGUUUAUUAAAGCACUCAUUUCAUCCAAUAUCCAAAUUACCAUUUUCUCUAGAUUUAUACUGCAAAGGAUUCAUUAACCAUUUUCUCUAGUUUAUUAAAGCACUCAUUUCAUCCAAUAUUCAAAUAUGAACUUGCUUUCCAUACUAGGGCACUACGAAUUCUAAUGAGAAUUGAGAAAAAGAAAUUUGGACUUUUCUAUUUUGUUUGCAAUUUGUUUACAUUGAAAUUAACGCGACAUCCAGGAAUCACAAUCCCAAAAAAUUAAAUUAAGAAAGAAAAAGAGAAUUUGCAAGAUCGAAUCUUAAUCUUUCUUCCUCCUUUUUCCCCUUUUGUUUGUUCCUUUCUUUCUUCUUCCUUAAUCGUUAAGGAGAUGCACUCAACAAAUAUCAAAUGUCUUUUUUAUUUUAUUCUAAAGAUACAACAAGAAAAGAAACUUACCAUCUGCUGAUUGCUGCUCUGACUAUGGCGAGACGGAGAGGUGAGACUGCGAGAGGGAGACGGCGUGUCGACAAGAUAGAGUGCUGGAAGUCGAUGAGAUAGAGUAUUGGAAGCGUGGAAGUAAACGAGAUAGAGUACUGUUGGAUUGCUGGUGGCUGUUGGUUUAGGCGUUAGGAUUUCUCUCUUUUUGAUUAUUUAGGAGUUAGGCGUUACACGUUAGAGAAAGAUUAUUCGAACUGUGGAAGUGGAAAGGUUUUUAAUAUAU